UACGUAGGGUGCAAGCGUUGUCCGGAGUUAUUGGGCGUAAAGGGCUCGUAGGCGGUCUGUCACGUCGGGAGUGAAAACUCAGGGCUUAACCCUGAGCCUGCUUCCGAUACGGGCAGACUAGAGGUAUGCAGGGGAGAACGGAAUUCCUGGAGUAGCGGUGAAAUGCGCAGAUAUCAGGAAGAACACCGGUGGCGAAGGCGGUUCUCUGGGCAUUACCUGACGCUGAGGAGCGAAAGUGUGGGUAGCAAACAGG
Molecule: ribosomal RNA, 253 nt
Filed under: uncultured bacterium
Lineage: Bacteria
Description: partial 16S ribosomal RNA
Rfam family: Bacterial small subunit ribosomal RNA
Source: RNAcentral